Long non-coding RNA from Carassius carassius (crucian carp), 730 nucleotides. RefSeq lists it as uncharacterized. The record is from RefSeq and is a predicted model, not a curated record. Lineage: Eukaryota; Metazoa; Chordata; Actinopteri; Cypriniformes; Cyprinidae. The transcript is spliced from 3 exons.
AAAAAAAAAUGUUUACAGCAUCUAAUGGUUUUAUCUUGCAGUGAAACGCAUCUAAGAAGAUGAAUAAAAUCAAGUUAGCCACAGAGAUGGCAUCGUCCAAGAGCACAGGCAUUUCAUCCAGAGGCAGUGAGUGAACUUUGUGUCCUGAAACCAGAAUCAGUUGGGAAGAAUGGAAUCAAUUCUACCCCAUAAAAGGCUUACACAGGUCCCCUUCCAGAUGCUGAUGUCUUGGCUUCUGGUGCAAAACUAAGUCAGAUUAAUCCCAAGCCUUUGCUGCCACACAUACUUGAGGGCAUGUCAAAAGUAGAGUUGUACCUCUUGGCAGUCCACUUUCAUACCAAUGUCCCCCUAUAGCUGCAGGUGUUCCUAAUGUUAAUUUCCCCCCACUACCUGUGCUUGGUUUUCAGUUUGGCUGUCAUUUUAAAAUAGUCCAGACGGACGAGUGCAUGAUCCAUCUGAAACAUUCCAGUUUGGACUAGUGGAGGUAAAAAGCACUUCUGCUGAAAACAUUGCUCAGGUUCCAUAUAUGAAAAUUCAAAGAGGACUAGCCAAACUUAAAGAGACCCAUAAGUACUACAGGCAGGUACAAGGUCAGACUGCAGACACUGGUCUACACUGGUGUGACUUUGUGACUGACACAAAAUCAGAUUUCAUAAUACAGAUGAUCUGGCGAGAUGAUGCCUUCAUAGCAUCAAUGAAAGUACUAUUAUAACGUUUACCUGGAUGUGUA